GAUGAACGCUAGCUACAGGCUUAACACAUGCAAGUCGAGGGGUAACGAGAGGAAAGCUUGCUUUCCUUGUCGACGACCGGCGCUCGGGUGAGUAACGCGUAUCCAACCUGCCCCUAACUAGGGAAUAACCUUGCGAAAGUAAGACUAAUACCCUAUAAUUUCCUCAGAUGUCAUCUGACGAGGAAUAAAGAUUUAUCGGUUGUGGAUGGGGAUGCGUCUGAUUAGCUUGUUGGCGGGGUAACGGCCCACCAAGGCAACGAUCAGUAGGGGUUCUGAGAGGAAGGUCCCCCACAUUGGAACUGAGACACGGUCCAAACUCCUACGGGAGGCAGCAGUGAGGAAUAUUGGUCAAUGGGCGAAAGCCUGAACCAGCCAAGUAGCGUGCAGGAUGACGGCCCUAUGGGUUGUAAACUGCUUUUAUACAGGAAUAAAGUUAGCCACGUGUGGUUAUUUGUAGGUACUGUAUGAAUAAGGACCGGCUAAUUCCGUGCCAGCAGCCGCAGUAA
This 506-nucleotide ribosomal RNA is filed under the name uncultured bacterium. RNAcentral describes it as "partial 16S ribosomal RNA". It matches the Rfam family "Bacterial small subunit ribosomal RNA", at positions 28 to 523 of the family's 1533-position model. The record is from RNAcentral.